GAUGAACGCUGGCGGCGUGCCUAAUACAUGCCAGUCGAGCGAACGGACGAGAAGCUUGCUUCUCUGAUGUUAGCGGCGGACGGGUGAGUAACACGUGGAUAACCUACCUAUAAGACUGGGAUAACUUCGGGAAACCGGAGCUAAUACCGGAUAAUAUUUUGAACCGCAUGGUUCAAAAGUGAAAGACGGUCUUGCUGUCACUUAUAGAUGGAUCCGCGCUGCAUUAGCUAGUUGGUAAGGUAGCGGCUUACCAAGGCAACGAUGCAUAGCCGACCUGAGAGGGUGAUCGGCCACACUGGAACUGAGACACGGUCCAGACUCCUACGGGAGGCAGCAGUAGGGAAUCUUCCGCAAUGGGCGAAAGCCUGACGGAGCAACGCCGCGUGAGUGAUGAAGGUCUUCGGAUCGUAAAACUCUGUUAUUAGGGAAGAACAUAUGUGUAAGUAACUGUGCACAUCUUGACGGUACCUAAUCAGAAAGCCACGGCUAACUACGUG
This 497-nucleotide ribosomal RNA is filed under the name uncultured bacterium. Its description in RNAcentral is "partial 16S ribosomal RNA". It matches the Rfam family "Bacterial small subunit ribosomal RNA", at positions 28 to 507 of the family's 1533-position model. The record is from RNAcentral.